AUGAAGCACGCAGCCGGGAUCCGAAGCUCUUCAAGGCGACGCCCCAAAGAGGGAAGUGACGAUGUCGACGCCGUCACCCGAACCAACCGGGCCUUAGGCUUUCACCCGAAGACCAAGAUCCGAGGGUGUAAGAGGAUGCCGGACUCCACAACGACGCCUCCAAGGUGGUUAAACGACGUCCAUAGACGCCGACGCCGCCGGCCGGCAAGACCAGCCAAGCUUUCGCCCGGGGUAUCCCCAACACCACCAACACCCUCACGCACUGCACCUUCGCUGACCCGCCCACCUCUCGCAGUGCCACCGCGCCAGCAGCACCAGAGAGCCACCAAGCACUUCAUCUCCCCGCCGGUCAAGAAGACGCAGACGGGCCAGAUCCGGCCGAUCUGGCAUCCCACCAACGCAGCGCCGAGCAGGAGCCACCCGAGGCCACCAGGCCACCGGCCCGACCAGGGACGCGCCCCACAAGGCAGGUGA
This 474-nucleotide ribosomal RNA is filed under the name Triticum aestivum (bread wheat). Its description in RNAcentral is "partial small subunit ribosomal RNA". Lineage: Eukaryota; Viridiplantae; Streptophyta; Magnoliopsida; Poales; Poaceae. The record is from RNAcentral.